CACGUAGGGGGCGAGCGUUGUCCGGAUUUAUUGGGCGUAAAGAGCUCGUAGGCGGCUCAGUAAGUCGGGUGUGAAAACUCCAGGCUCAACCUGGAGACGCCACCUGAUACUGCUGUGGCUAGAGUCCGGUAGGGGAGCAUGGAAUUCCUGGUGUAGCGGUGAAAUGCGCAGAUAUCAGGAGGAACACCAGUGGCGAAGGCGGUGCUCUGGGCCGGAACUGACGCUGUGGAGCGAAAGCGUGGGGAGCAAACAGG
This 254-nucleotide ribosomal RNA is filed under the name uncultured bacterium. Its description in RNAcentral is "partial 16S ribosomal RNA". It matches the Rfam family "Bacterial small subunit ribosomal RNA", at positions 524 to 776 of the family's 1533-position model. The record is from RNAcentral.